This 28-nucleotide ribosomal RNA is filed under the name Cinnagrostis viridiflavescens. RNAcentral's name for it is "partial 18S ribosomal RNA". Lineage: Eukaryota; Viridiplantae; Streptophyta; Magnoliopsida; Poales; Poaceae. The record is from RNAcentral. RNAcentral also lists the same sequence under 1 other name.
UACCUGGUUGAUCCUGCCAGUAGUCAUU